UACGAGGGGGGCGAGCGUUGUUCGGAAUUAUUGGGCGUAAAGGGUGCGUAGGCGGUUUGGUAAGUCUUAUGUGAAAUCUACAGGCUCAACUUGUAGUCUGCAUGAGAAACUGGCGGGCUUGAGUGUGGCAGAGGGGGGUGGAAUUCCGCGUGUAGCAGUGAAAUGCGUAGAGAUGCGGAGGAACACCUGUGGUGUAGACGGCUUUCUGGACCAUAGCUGACGCUGAGACACGAAAGCGUGGGUAGCAAACAGG
This 253-nucleotide ribosomal RNA is filed under the name uncultured bacterium. RNAcentral describes it as "partial 16S ribosomal RNA". It matches the Rfam family "Bacterial small subunit ribosomal RNA", at positions 524 to 776 of the family's 1533-position model. The record is from RNAcentral.